RNAcentral lists this transfer RNA (64 nucleotides) under Aphis spiraecola. Its description in RNAcentral is "tRNA-Ala". The record is from RNAcentral. Lineage: Eukaryota; Metazoa; Arthropoda; Insecta; Hemiptera; Aphididae.
AGGAUAAUAGUUAAAAUUUAUAACAUUUAAUUUGCUCUUAAAAAUUAUUAUAUAAUUUAUCUUA